ACCACCACCUUAUGAGUACAAUUCACCUCCUCCACCAACUGCUUCACCGCCACCUCCUUAUGAGUACAAGUCACCACCUCCUCCACCAAUUGAGCACAAACCACCACCUUAUGAGUAUAAAUCACCACCUCCACCACCACAUGAGCACAAGGCUCCUCCGUACGAGUAUAAGUCACCCCCUCCGCCAUCACCAUCACCUCCACCACCUUAUGAGUAUAAAUCACCACCUCCACCACCACAUGAGCACAAGGCUCCUCCGUACGAGUAUAAGUCACCCCCUCCGCCAUCACCAUCACCUCCACCACCUUAUGAGUAUAAAUCACCACCUCCACCACCACAUGAGCACAAGGCUCCUCCGUACGAGUAUAAGUCACCCCCUCCGCCAUCACCAUCACCACCACCUCCUUAUGAGUAUAAAUCACCACCUCCCCCACCACAUGAGCACAAGGCUCCUCCGUACGAGUAUAUUUCACCACCCCCACCAUCACCAUCACCACCACCUCCUUAUGAGUAUAAAUCACCACCUCCACCACCACAUGAGCACAAGGCUCCUCCUUAUGAGUACAAGUCACCACCACCUCCAUACGUAUACAAGUCACCACCUCCACCACCAUAUGAACACAAGGUUCCUCCCUACGAGUACAAGUCACCACCUCCACCAUCACCAUCACCACCACCUCCUUACAUAUACAAAUCACCACCUCCACCACCACCAUAUGAGCAUAAGUCUCCUCCUUAUGUGUACAAGUCCCCUCCCCCACCACCAUAUGAGCACAAGUCUCCACCUUACGUAUAUAAGUCACCCCCUCCUCCUUCACCGUCACCACCACCCCCAUAUGUAUAUAAGUCACCACCACCUCCACCACCAUACGAGCAUAAGUCUCCUCCUUAUGUGUACAAGUCACCUCCUCCUCCACCACCAUAUGAACACAAAUCUCCACCCUACUAUUACAGCUCUCCUCCUCCACCUCCUUACUACUAUAAAUCUCCCCCACCACCUUCACCAUCUCCUCCACCACCUUAUUAUUAUGAGUCUCCACCACCACCAGUAAAGUCUCCAUCUCCAAAGCCUUACUAUUAUAAAUCUCCUCCACCACCAUCUCCUGUACCCCAUCCACCUUACUACUACAACUCUCCUCCUCCACCAUCUCCUUCACCUCCUCCACCUUACUAUUAUAAUUCUCCACCACCUCCUUCACCGUCUCCUCCACCACCGUACUACUAUAAAUCUCCUCCUCCUCCAUCUCCUAAACCGCACCCCCCUUACUACUAUAACUCUCCACCACCUCCAGUAAAAUCUCCACCUCAUCCAACACCUUACUACUACAAAUCUCCACCACCACCCACUCCAUACUAUUAUAAUUCUCCUCCUCCACCUGUCGUGUAUCCUCCACAUCCCCACCAUCACCCAUUGAUUGUGAAGGUUGUGGGCAAAGUCUACAGCUAUAAGUGCUAUGACUGGGAGUAUCCUGAAAAGUCACACAACAAGAAGCAUCUCAAAGGUACACGACAUUCUCUACGUCAUUUUUUAGUUCGAAAGUCUUAUUAUUGUUACAAUUGAAUUGUCAAUUCUUAUGCUUUUGAGCAUUGCUCGUUAUUAUCUUCAUUUGGCAUUCACUUUUUUUCGUUAGAGAAUGCACGUCUUUGUCUAGUAGAACUUGUGCUUCAUUUUACACAAGCAUUUGCUAUUAGUACUCACAGUAUUUUGUCGCUAAACUUUUCGUGAUGCUUGCAGUUCCAAUCAUAUUAGAUAACUCUAGAGCAUGUAGAAAUUAAAUGUUAGAAUGCAUUAACUUAAUUUAUCUUGAACCGACCACCUAAUCGGAAAACCAAAAUGAAUGCAUUAAUAUUUGAUGCUUAAAUUAGUAAAGUGUCAAUUAGACUUUUUAAUAAUGUAUAGAAUUGGAGAACCUUUUGUUACAGUUGAUAGGUAAGAUACAAUCAAUGUCUCAAUGUACAUUCACCAUCACAUUACUAAAAAAGAACCUUUUCUUAUUCAAAACUGGUUGUAGCAUGUAAUUAACACCAACACUCAACAUGAAAAUGAUAGUUUUCUUUUUCUUCAUAAAUAAACAUGAAAAGGAUAGUUUAACUCGAGAUUCUUUUUAUAAUUUGCUCCAAUAUAAUAUCUUUGGUGGAUUUAUGAUAUCUUGUCGUAUUAUUGUUUGCUAAUUGUAAUAUUUCAAUUAUGGAUCAGGUGCUGUUGUGGAGGUCAAAUGCAAAGCAGGCAGACACAUCAUCAAGGCUUACGGGGAAACUAAGAGCAAUGGAAAGUAUAGCAUUACAGUUAAGGACUUUGACUAUGCUAAAUAUGGCUCCAGGGUAUGCAAGGCUAGGUUACAUGCUCCACCUAAGAACUCACCCUUCAACAUACCCACUAAGCUAAACGAAGGAACCGACUUGAAGGUGAAAUCAAAGGACAAAUAUGAAGUUGUGCUUGAAGCUAAGCCAUUUGCCUAUGCUUCAAAGAAACAUUUUGAAGAAUGUGAAAAAUCCAAGCCUUCACCAACUCCCUACUAUUAUAAAUCACCACCACCUCCAUCACCGGUUUACAUAUACAAGUCUCCACCUCCACCAUCACCUACAUAUGUAUACAAGUCACCACCUCCACCAGUUCACCACUAUUCUCCUCCGUACUAUUACCAAUCCCCACCACCACCUUCACCAAAACCCAAUCCUCCAUAUUACUACCAAUCCCCACCUCCACCUUCACCAAAACCCAAGCCUCCGUACUACUACCAAUCUCCACCUCCACCAACACCAGUAGUAAAGCCACCUUACUACUACCAAUCUCCACCUCCACCAUCACCGGUACCCAAACCUCCAUACUACUACCAAUCACCACCUCCACCAUCACCAAAACCCAAGCCUCCAUACUACUACCAAUCCCCACCUCCACCAACACCAGUAGUAAAGCCACCUUACUACUACCAAUCUCCACCUCCACCAUCACCGGUACCCAAACCUCCAUACUACUACCAAUCACCACCUCCACCAUCACCAAAACCCAAGCCUCCAUACUACUACCAAUCCCCACCUCCUCCAUCACCAGUACCUAAGCCUCCAUACUACUACCAAUCUCCACCACCCCCAUCACCAGUACCCAAGCCUCCAUACUAUUACCAAUCUCCACCUCCACCUUCACCGAAACCCAAGCCUCCGUACUAUUACCAAUCCCCACCACCACCUUCACCAAAACCAAAGCCUCCGUACUAUUACCAAUCCCCACCUCCACCAUCGCCAGUACCCAAGCCUCCGUACUACUACCAAUCUCCGCCUCCACCAUCACCGGUACCUAAACCUCCAUACUACUACCAAUCUCCACCUCCACCAUCACCAGUAACAAAGCCUCCGUACUAUUACCAAUCUCCGCCUCCACCAUCACCGGUACCUAAACCUCCAUACUACUAUCAAUCUCCACCUCCACCUUCACCAAAACCCAAGCCUCCGUACUAUUACCAAUCCCCACCUCCACCUUCACCUAAACCCAAGCCUCCUUACUACUACCAAUCCCCACCUCCUCCGUCACCGGUGCCUAAACCUCCAUACUAUUACCAAUCUCCACCUCCACCAUCACCAUCACCCCCACCACCUUAUUAUUACCAUUCUCCUCCUCCACCAUCACCAUCUCCCCCUC
This 3637-nucleotide long non-coding RNA is filed under the name Arachis ipaensis. RNAcentral's name for it is "long non-coding RNA (AIPA_LNC002325)". Lineage: Eukaryota; Viridiplantae; Streptophyta; Magnoliopsida; Fabales; Fabaceae. The record is from RNAcentral.